AUUGAACGCUGGCGGCAUGCUUUACACAUGCAAGUCGAGCGGUAACAGGCCUUCGGGUGCUGACGAGUGGCGAACGGGUGAGUAAUGCAUCGGAACGUACCCAGAGGUGGGGGAUAACGCAGCGAAAGCUGUGCUAAUACCGCAUGUGAUCUGAGGAUGAAAGCGGGGGACCGAGCAGCAAUGUUUGGCCUCGCGCCUUUGGAGCGGCCGAUGUCGGAUUAGCUAGUUGGUGGGGUAAAGGCCUACCAAGGCGACGAUCCGUAGCUGGUCUGAGAGGACGACCAGCCACACUGGGACUGGGACACGGCCCAGACUCCUACGGGAGGCAGCAGUGGGGAAUUUUGGACAGUGGGCGCAAGCCUGAUCCAGCAAUGCCGCGUGCGGGAAGAAGGCCUUCGGGUUGUAAACCGCUUUUGGCAGGAACGAAACGGUGUCCGCUAAUACCGGGCGCUAAUGACGGUACCUGCAGAAUAAGCACCGGCUAACUACGUG
RNAcentral lists this ribosomal RNA (492 nucleotides) under uncultured bacterium. Its description in RNAcentral is "partial 16S ribosomal RNA". It matches the Rfam family "Bacterial small subunit ribosomal RNA", at positions 29 to 507 of the family's 1533-position model. The record is from RNAcentral.